GACGUAGGAUCCGAGCGUUGUCCGGAGUUACUAGGCGUAAAGCGCGCGCAGGCGGAUACACGCAUCGGCGGUGAAAGCCCCCCGCCCAACGGGGGGGGGGCCGUCGAGAUGGUGUAUCUGGAGGCAGGGAGAGGCCAGUGGAAUUCCGGGUGUAGUGGUGAAAUGCGUAGAGAUCCGGAGGAACACCAGUGGCGAAGGCGGCUGGCUGGACCUGACCUGACGCUGAGGCGCGAAGGCGUGGGGAGCGAACGGG
This 253-nucleotide ribosomal RNA is filed under the name uncultured bacterium. RNAcentral's name for it is "partial 16S ribosomal RNA". It matches the Rfam family "Bacterial small subunit ribosomal RNA", at positions 524 to 776 of the family's 1533-position model. The record is from RNAcentral.